CCUACGGGAGGCAGCAGUGAGGAAUAUUGGUCAAUGGGCGGAAGCCUGAACCAGCCAAGUAGCGUGCAGGAUGACGGCCCUACGGGUUGUAAACUGCUUUUAUACGGGAAUAACGCGCCUUACGUGUAGGGCUUUGCAUGUACCGUAUGAAUAAGGACCGGCUAAUUCCGUGCCAGCAGCCGCGGUAAUACGGAAGGUCCGGGUGUUAUCCGGAUUUAUUGGGUUUAAAGGGAGCGUAGGCCGCAUGUCAAGCGUGCUGUGAAAUGUCCGGGCUCAACCCUGGCCUUCCAGCGCGAACUGGGGUGCUUGAGUCCGCGGAAAGCAGGCGGAAUUCGGGGUGUAGCGGUGAAAUGCUUAGAUAUGACGAAGAACCCCGAUUGCGAAGGCAGCUUGCUGCAGCGGAACUGACGCUGAUGCUCGAAAGCGCGGGUAUCGAACAGGAUUAGAGACCCUUGUAGUC
Molecule: ribosomal RNA, 460 nt
Filed under: uncultured bacterium
Lineage: Bacteria
Description: partial 16S ribosomal RNA
Rfam family: Bacterial small subunit ribosomal RNA
Source: RNAcentral